AUGAGCUCCUUUGCCAGGACGAUGCCUCCUCCCCUCCCAGGAAAGGCCGUGGCCGGCUCAGCGCCCAGCAGGAGCGUGUGGCCUUGGAGGAGCCACAUUUCUGUGGCCCCGGUGAGCCCACACAUUCGAAUCAACAUGACACACUUUUGGUCCCGCAAGCUUUCUGGGCUUUUUAAUAAUCGGAUUCUAAGCCAAGGCUCUUCCUCUCUUCUUAGCGGAAGUCCACUCUUGUGCGGAGGACGGAACCACGGGAGGUUUGGACGCUGUCUCAGUGACUUUUGCAAAUACCUGCAUUUGACAGUUGUGUGUCCACGUUCAAGCCAAUUCUUUCCACAAACUACUGGAAAAGCCUUGGGCCCCGGUGGAAGCUGUAUUCUGUGAUGACACCCGCCUUUCCCAGGGGACGACCGUCACAGGCACAAAAUGACUUUGUCAAGAAAUGGGAUGCGCCAGGAACAUGAGGUCUCCUCAAGAAAGGACGGGCUGAUCUGAAGAAGGUUCUUGAGGGGUGAAGACAGCAGUGCAGUGUCCGAGAGAAGCCGUAGACUCCGAUGGUUCAUUCAAAGCAAUGAAACUGUCACCACAAAUCUGGAUGGCAAAUUUCCUCUUGGAAUCUGCACAAGCCGAAAGUCCAGAACCCGGCCGAUGGAGACUUCCAGUAUCUUUUAUACGUGCAUGCACUAUGUGCUGCUGUGUUUUUCUUGUUGAUGCGUGGGGAAGUUAGGAUGAGGAGAGGAGUCCCUGAGGAAGAAGUGAUCUGCUGCUACAGGAGAGUUUGGGGGAGCAUUCAACAGAGCAGGGAGGACCCCCCGGGGAGCCGGUCAAGCAAGGUCACAGGAACUCCAGCAGAGAGAAAGCCCCGCACCCCAACUCCACGAGCCCCCCGCGGAAGGAGGCAGCCUGGGAAGAGAGCGCUGCACUCAACCCAGCCAUUCUGGGGUUGAAACUCGGUUCUGGGGCGCAGCAGGUUAAGCCACUGCCAGCAACGCUGGCAUCCCCAUAUGGCCAUCAGUUCCUGUCCCGGCUGCUCCACUUCUGACCCAGCUCCCUGCUGGUGGCCUGGGAGAGCAGCAGAAGAUGGCCCAAGUGCUUUGACCCCUGCAGCCAAGUAGGAGACGCAGAUGAAGUUCCAGGCUCCUAGCUUUGGCCUGACCCAGUCCCGGCCAUUGCGGCCAUCGGGGGAGUGAACUAGCGAAUGGAAGAUCUCUCUCUGUCUGUCUGUCUCUCUCUCUGCAAGUCUGCCUUACUAAGCAAUACAUAAAUACAUCUUUUUUAAAAAAAGAAACAGUCCUGCCACUGUCAGUGGUCCCUUAGCGAGCUGCAUGCGUGAAUCUUUCUAGAUCUCACCUUGGAUGCUGCUAAGGAACCUUGAAAGUGUGGU
Molecule: long non-coding RNA, 1381 nt
Filed under: Oryctolagus cuniculus (rabbit)
Lineage: Eukaryota; Metazoa; Chordata; Mammalia; Lagomorpha; Leporidae
Description: lncRNA (ENSOCUG00000037933.1)
Source: RNAcentral